This is a long non-coding RNA of Lethenteron reissneri (Far Eastern brook lamprey), 2516 nucleotides long. RefSeq lists it as uncharacterized. The record is from RefSeq and is a predicted model, not a curated record. Lineage: Eukaryota; Metazoa; Chordata; Hyperoartia; Petromyzontiformes; Petromyzontidae.
CCUUCUUUCCGAGCAGCCCAAGGUGAGUGGAGGCGGUGUGCGCGGCUCGGCUCCUCGUUUGAGCUUCGCAAUCCGAAGCCAUCGGCCCCUUUGCCGUGGACAAAAGUUCCGAUUUUACUGCGCGAUGGAGAGUGGCCCUUGCAGCGGACGCAGUUAGCUAGUCGGCGUCCGUGCAAUGCGUUUUGUUUCGCGGUUAGAGCCGCGUUCUUUGUGUUCGGCUGUUCGCGUUACGGGGACACGUGUUGGAGCGUCUGCGCAGUGAACUUCUGGGUGGUGGUGGUGGUGAUGGGGCAUAUCCAUCUUGCGCUGGUAUUACGAUAUCGAUGUAUCUUUCUUACGUUGCGUAGCAAUAUCGAUAUUUAAUUUGCCGAGUUUGUGUUUUUGUAAGGGCUCUUGGUUACUAAGCUAAUGUGGUGUGUGAAGGGAACGUCUUACAGUAUUCGAUUGCUGGCGCAUUGCCCAUAACCCCACCCUAAAGGAUUAAGUUAGAAAUGUGUGUGAUUGUUAGAGAUUAUUCUUUUCUCGCGUGCGUUUGCCGUGGUGUCCAGUCGACCCACCACUGGAUCCUUGAUGAAUUAAUAUUUAUCUGAUUAGCACAAGUUGGUGUGUGUAGUUUUUUUUACAUUUUUCGGGUACUGCAAAACAAAAGCUCAACAUUCAUGGAAAUAUCUCCCCUCUUUGAGAUGGGCCCAUGGUUCGUGAGUUGUUAUCGAGGCGGGUGUGGGAUGAUGAUGAAUCUUAACAUAAAUCUUCCUGAGGACUUGUUGCUUCCAAAGAUGACAACAAUCGCUCCACUCUGACUGCACCCGCCGUCGUCUUAACCCCUCUGAACUCUUGGUUCUUUCGGUAAAGUCACGUACAAUCGAAGGAAAAUAAUAAAAUAAUAAAGAUAAAAUAACGUGGUUGGGGGGGGGACCAUCUUCCCAGCAGUUCCAAGGCGCGAUAAACAUUUCUGAGUAAGACACAAAUUUGGGUUUUUUAAACCCACGUGUCUGUACAAAGUCGCUCUCAAUGCCUCCACAUUUUCUGCCACUUUUUCCAAUUUUCGUUGGAAUUGGCUUCACCAAUUCCUGUGGCUUUACAGUCCCAAGGAAUUGUGUGAAGUUAACAUUGAAGCCCCCCCCGUGACACGUUUUAUUCCUCUGCAGUUGGGCUAUUGUAGAUAUUUCUUUGGAGAUUCUGCUCGACUGAACGCAAGUUAAUGCAGUUGGCAGCUAGGUUUGACAAAACCCAUUUAUUUUUCAGGGAAGUAAUCGUAAAAUGUGGACCAUGCUGUUAAUGGCUUUUGUUGUGCAUGAUUGUCCCGGAGUCUUUAACAUUCACUUCACAAGUAAUACUCCACUUUACAAUCGGUGAUCUUCCACAAGAUUACUGGUUGCAGCUGCAAUUUCGUUAAUGCAUUUGAAAAUAAAAUCUACCCUUACAGUCAGCAAUUUCUCGUUUCUUAAGCGUGGAUCUGAUUGCGUAACUACUGAACAUAAGUGUAUAGUUUAAGUGUGUGCGUUUUUGCCGUUUUCUCACCAUCCCUUCAGUCACAAGGCCAUAAUGGAGAAGCUUUGGACAGAAAACAACCAUUGGAUUGGGGCACGUGGUGAACGUGAAGGGAACCGACGUCCACACUUCACAGUGGCAUCUGUGCUUUGAAGUGGAUGCCACGUGGCACGAGGUGUAAGAUGGAGAAUGUGUAUGAAGAUUACUGGAGUAUGAGAGGGUGGUUCCGAGCCAGUGCUGUGGCUGUGAUGGCGCUCUGCUCACAGUUCCUGAAGGGUGGCCUGGGUUGGGAGUUCUGGGUGUCCACGCAAGAUGAAAAACAGGUUGUCAAGCGUGGCCACUUGGUCGUCUCAGGGCUGCACAAAGAUAUGAAUGUGGUUUUACUUUUAUCAUAUUCUGUCAGAUGCCGCUAUGAGGUGUGUUAUCAACAGAACGUGUCCCUGGUGUAAAUCUCUCAAGGGUUCUGACCUUUUUUUACCCAUAUCCCUUUGCUCAUACCGUUGCCGUGACGGGAAUAUGGUUUUGGUCAUUUCAAAGUGAAUUAUUAGCGACUGGUUUGAAACGUGAUUUUCAAAACCCGAGGAGCAAAAGCUGCGGUGACAUGUAUUGCGCCAUGUGGAGGAACAACCUGUUGACCUCGUCUGUGGAGGGAAAUAUCUGGUGGAUAAUUGGCUUGCUGACAACGCUGUUGGCGUGCUGGUGUGGAAAUUUGUAAAAAUGUUAACUUUCAUUGGCACUGCCUUGUAACAGAUUUAUAGCGGCCUAACUGGAUGGAAAUGCACUUGAGUUACCAAAAAAGUUCCCCUUGAAGGAAAGGUUGAUGGAUAAAUAUCUACGUUAACUUAUCAAUGUAUGAACUAAAUUGAGUAAAUUCUGUAAAAUGCAUAUUGAAAAUACUGUAAUUUAUUUUGCAACUUGUGGAGCAUCCCGCAGUUGUUUUGCACUUGCUGUAUUUAUGAUAAACUACAUGUGAAUUAAAUUGUUUUUCUUGUGAAUUGUGUAAUAAAAAGCAACACUGAAAUGAA